ACGGGAUUCUGUUGUACAAUACAGCAGGUGUUCAGUGGCGUAAUGGUGCGUAACACGUGGGCAACCUGCCCGAGAGUUGGGGAUAGCCCGCCGAAAGGCGGAUUAAUACCGAAUGUGGCGAGGGGAGACAUCUCCCUGUAGCCAAAGCCGGGGUCAAACCUGGCGCUCUUGGAUGGGCCCGCGGCCUAUCAGCUAGUUGGUGAGGUAACGGCUCACCAAGGCUAUGACGGGUAGCUGGUCUGAGAGGACGACCAGCCACACUGGAACUGAGACACGGUCCAGACACCUACGGGUGGCAGCAGUCGAGAAUUUUUCUCAAUGGGGGAAACCCUGAAGGAGCGACGCCGCGUGGAGGAUGAAGGUCUUCGGAUUGUAAACUCCUGUCAUUGGUGAACAAGGCCAUCGGUUAACUGCCGUUUGGAUUGAUAGUAGCCGAAGAGGAAGAGACGGCUAACUCUGUGCCAGCAGCCGCGGUAAUACAGAGGUCUCGAGCGUUGUUCGGAUUCAUUGGGCGUAAAGGGUGCGUAGGCGGCGGGGUAAGUCUGAUGUGAAAUCCCGGGGCUCAACCCCGGAACUGCAUUGGAUACUGCUCUGCUUGAGUACUGGAGAGGAGACUGGAAUUUACGGUGUAGCAGUGAAAUGCGUAGAUAUCGUAAGGAAGACCAGUGGCGAAGGCGAGUCUCUGGACAGUUACUGACGCUGAGGCACGAAGGCUAGGGGAAGCAACGGGAUUAGAUACCCCGGUAGUCCUAGCAGUAAACGGUGCGCGUUUGGUGUA
This 778-nucleotide ribosomal RNA is filed under the name uncultured bacterium. RNAcentral describes it as "bacterial SSU rRNA". It matches the Rfam family "Bacterial small subunit ribosomal RNA", at positions 66 to 824 of the family's 1533-position model. The record is from RNAcentral.